Molecule: ribosomal RNA, 1459 nt
Filed under: uncultured bacterium
Lineage: Bacteria
Description: partial 16S ribosomal RNA
Rfam family: Bacterial small subunit ribosomal RNA
Source: RNAcentral
AUCCUGGCUCAGAACGAACGCUGGCGGCAGGCUUAACACAUGCAAGUCGAACGAGAUCUUCGGAUCUAGUGGCGGACGGGUGAGUAACGCGUGGGAACGUACCCUUCACUACGGAAUAAUCACUGGAAACGGUGACUAAUACCGUAUACGCCCUUCGGGGGAAAGAAUUUCGGUGAAGGAUCGGCCCGCGUUGGAUUAGGUAGUUGGUGGGGUAAUGGCCUACCAAGCCGACGAUCCAUAGCUGGUUUUAGAGGAUGAUCAGCCACACUGGGACUGAGACACGGCCCAGACUCCUACGGGAGGCAGCAGUGGGGAAUCUUAGACAAUGGGGGAAACCCUGAUCUAGCCAUGCCGCGUGAGUGACGAAGGCCCUAGGGUCGUAAAGCUCUUUCAACGGUGAAGAUAAUGACGGUAGCCGUAGAAGAAACCCCGGCUAACUCCGUGCCAGCAGCCGCGGUAAUACGGAGGGGGUUAGCGUUGUUCGGAAUUACUGGGCGUAAAGCGCGCGUAGGCGGAUUGGAAAGUUGGGGGUGAAAUCCCGGGGCUCAACCCCGGAACUGCCUCCAAAACUAUCAGUCUAGAGUUCGAGAGAGGUGAGUGGAAUUCCGAGUGUAGAGGUGAAAUUCGUAGAUAUUCGGAGGAACACCAGUGGCGAAGGCGGCUCACUGGGCUCGAUACUGACGCUGAGGUGCACGAAAGUGUGGGGAGCAAACAUGGCAAUUAGAUACCCUGGUAGUCCACGCCGUAAACGAUGUCAAUGCUAGUUGUCGGGUAGCAUUCAUAUUCCUUGGUGACGCAGCUAACGCGAUGAAGCUUGACCGCCUGGGGAGUACGGCCGCAAGGUUAAAACUCAAAGGAAUUGACGGGGACCCGCACAAGCGGUGGAUGAUGUGGAUUAAUUCGAUGCAACGCGAAAAACCUUACCUACGCUUGACAUGCCAGGAACUUUCCAGAGAUGGAUUGGUGCCCGAAAGGGAACCUGGACACAGGUGCUGCAUGGCUGUCGUCAGCUCGUGUCGUGAGAUGUUGGGUUAAGUCCCGCAACGAGCGCAACCCUUUUCCUUAGUUGCUACGCAAGGGCACUCUAGGGAUACUGCCGGUGACAAACCGGAGGAAGGUGGGGAUGACGUCAAGUCCUCAUGGCCCUUAUGUGUAGGGCUUCACACGUCAUACAAUGGUCGGUACAGAGGGUCGCCAACCCGCGAGGGGGAGCCAAUCCCAGAAAACCGAUCGUAGUCCGGAUCGCACUCUGCAACUCGAGUGCGUGAAGUCGGAAUCGCUAGUAAUCGCGGAUCAGCAUGUCGCGGUGAAUACGUUCCCGGGUCUUGUACACACCGCCCGUCGCACCAUGGGAGUGGGUUUUGCCAGAAGUGGGUAGCCUAACCCGCAAGGAGGGCGCUUACCACGGCAGGGCUCAUGACUGGGGGUGAAGUCGUAACAAGGUAACCAAUCACUAGAG